RNA transcript from Lagopus leucura (white-tailed ptarmigan), 583 nucleotides. It is a transcript of the gene named ribosomal protein S24, with no coding region annotated. The transcript has 8 exons. NCBI's taxonomy places the organism in Eukaryota, Metazoa, Chordata, Aves, Galliformes, Phasianidae. The record is from RefSeq and is a predicted model, not a curated record.
CACUUCCUUUUCUCGUUCGCUGGCACGGAGGGAGCCGACAAGAUGAAUGACACAGUGACCAUAAGAACUAGGAAGUUCAUGACAAACAGACUGCUUCAGCGCAAGCAGAUGGUGAUUGAUGUUCUUCAUCCUGGGAAGGCCACAGUCCCCAAAACAGAAAUCAGGGAAAAGCUGGCGAAAAUGUACAAGACAACCCCUGAUGUAAUAUUCGUAUUUGGCUUCAGAACUCACUUUGGUGGUGGCAAGACAACAGGCUUUGGCAUGAUCUACGAUUCCUUGGACUAUGCAAAGAAAAAUGAACCAAAACACAGACUUGCCAGACAUGGUUUGUAUGAGAAGAAGAAGACUUCUAGGAAGCAGCGGAAGGAACGUAAGAACAGAAUGAAGAAAGUCAGGGGUACAGCUAAGGCAAAUGUUGGUGCUGGCAAGAAGAAGAAAUGAAGUAUCUAGCAGUAACUGGAUGUACUUCAGGUGUGGAAAAUGGAUAACAGGCUACUUAAUUCCAUCAAGAAGUAUGGGAAGAACUGCUCUGGAAAGAAGCUGUUCAUCUGGCUUUAACAUUAAAUAAACUAUGUCAGUCAAA